UACGUAGGUGGCAAGCGUUGUCCGGAUUUACUGGGCGUAAAGGGAGCGUAGGCGGACUUUUGAGUGAGAUGUGAACUACCCGGGCUCAACCUGGGUGCUGCAUUUCAAACUGGAAGUCUAGAGUGCAGGAGAGGAGAAUGGAAUUCCUAGUGUAGCGGUGAAAUGCGUAGAGAUUAGGAAGAACACCAGUGGCGAAGGCGAUUCUCUGGACUGUAACUGACGCUGAGGCUCAGAAGCGUGGGGAGCAAAGAGG
Molecule: ribosomal RNA, 253 nt
Filed under: uncultured bacterium
Lineage: Bacteria
Description: partial 16S ribosomal RNA
Rfam family: Bacterial small subunit ribosomal RNA
Source: RNAcentral